CUCCCGAAUAUGGUUUCUCCCAUGAGGGUCAAGAGCUCUUCGAAUUUGCUCAAAGCUCUAGACCUUUUCUCUAGAAACCUGUGGGCCUUUGUGCGCGCGCGCCCACGUGGACGCACACACGGGCACGCCCACACCGGUGCGUGGACGCACACACGGGCACGCGCACACACAAUUUGACUUCUUCCCGGGGAUUCCUGAAACACUCAGGCUAGAGGAAUUUUAAGAGCCUACACAACUCACUGAUGGGAGAGACCUCACUCUUCUCCAAGUGAUUUGCUACCAUGUAUUGAAAGAAGUCGGGAUGAUGCCACAUUCCCAAGGGAUACCAGAAGAACUCAAUUUUUCUUCUUUCAUUUUCAGAUUUUCCUUUUCCAUCAGAACUCAUGGUCUUUUCAUACUGCCAUGUCUUCUUGUACUCUAAGGAUGAUAGCAAUUUUCUGAACUCUUAUUCUGGAUCCUGAAGUAGAUGCUUUUCAGAGGUGCUUCCUGAGAUCACCUCCCAAAUAAAUUACUUGUACAUAAAUCCUCACGUCAUAUUCUGCUUCUGCAAGAACUCUAAAACAAGUAAGGAUAUAAAGUAAACCUCAAAAAAUGAAAAUCUAAAAACUACAGGCCAAUAUCACUGAUGAACAUAGAUGUAAAAAUCCUUAACAAAAUACUGGCAAACAGAAUCUAACAGCACAUUAAAAGGAUCAUACACCAUGAUCAAGUGGGGUUUAUCCCAGGAAUGCAAGGAUUCUUCAAUAUACGCAAAUCAAACACUGUGAUACACCAUAUUAACAGAUUGAAGGAGAAAAACCAUAUGAUCAUCUCAACACCCAUUUAUGAUAAAAACCCUCCAGAAAGUAGGCAUAGAGGGAACUUUCCUCAACAUAAUAAAGGCCAUAUAUGGCAAACCCACAGCCAACAUUGUCCUCAAUGGUGAAAAACUGAAAUCAUUUCCAUUAAGAUCAGGAACAAGAUAAGGCUGCCCACUCUCACCAUUAUUAUUCAACAUAGUUUUGGAAGUUUUAGCCACAGCCAUCAGAGAAGAAAAAGAAAUAAAAAGGAAUCCAAAUUGGAAAAGAAAUAAAGCUGUCACUGUUUGCAGAUGACAUGAUACUAUACAAAGAGAAUCCUAAAGAUGCUACCAGAAAACUACUAGAGCUAAUCAAUGAAUUUGGUAAAGUAGCAGGAUACAAAAUUAAUGCACAGAAAUCUCUUGCAUUCCUAUACACUAAUGAUGAAAAAUCUGAAAGUGAAAUUAAAACACUCCCAUUUACCAUUGCAACAAAGAGAAUAAAAUACCUAGGAAUAAACCUACCUAAGGAGACAAAAGACCUGUAUGCAGAAAAUCAUAAGACACUGAUGAAAGAAAUUAAAGAUGAUACAAAUAGAUGGAGAGAUAUACCAUGUUCUUGGAUUGGAA
Long non-coding RNA from Balaenoptera ricei (Rice's whale), 1408 nucleotides. RefSeq lists it as uncharacterized. The record is from RefSeq and is a predicted model, not a curated record. NCBI's taxonomy places the organism in Eukaryota, Metazoa, Chordata, Mammalia, Artiodactyla, Balaenopteridae. The transcript has 4 exons.